Molecule: non-coding RNA, 1242 nt
Organism: Python bivittatus (Burmese python)
Lineage: Eukaryota; Metazoa; Chordata; Lepidosauria; Squamata; Pythonidae
Source: RefSeq, a predicted model, not a curated record
UCUGCCCACUAGACUAAUAUUGACAACACUGCCUAGCAACAACCCCACAGGCUCUCAAGAAAAAUCUUUUCCAUCACUUCAUGCCUUAGUUCCUUUAAGUGUAGAUAGACAGAGGAUUUCUGCAGAAUCUGACCAUUAAGAUCAAUCCUCUCUCCAAGUUCCAUCUUACAUUUCAUCUUUUCAAAAAAUUACACUGUGAAAUAUUAUUAUAUUGUCAGCUUUCCUUGAAUAACUGAUUAGUGUCACUGAAAUAAGAGUAAGAAAUUUAGGUUCAAGCAACCUCUUUAGCAUGACCUUUUUAAAAUGUCACGGAAAACUUCACUGAACACACAUUAUAUAAGUUUGCUGAUCUGUAGACUCUUCUUCGCGUGCCUUUAACUCAGACAGUAUCCACGGUUCUAUAGCACCCACUGUCUUAAGGAACUUUCUGGAGUUAACAGUAGCAAAUAUUCUUCCAUUUAGAAAUGACUUCAAUUUAUUCAGUCCUGCAUUUCCUGAAAGUAAGUGUGAAUCCAGGGUUAGCAUAUCAGGGAAAAAAAUUUCCUGGAACAAUAUGGUCAUAUUAAAGCAUAGAUAUGAAAUAGUUUCUUCAGUAUAGAUACACCCAUACAUACACAUAAACUUUUUCUAUAUAUAUACUUUUCCUCAGGCACCAUUUGGGAUGCAAGCUGCAUAUGGAUAUCCUCUAGAAACUCUAAUUUUUGUUCCUGGGUAUUCCCUUGGAAUAAUGGUCUUCUGCAAUCACGUGAUUUUGCUGUGGGCAUUUUUAAUCUGUCGCUUGGUUCUCACCAUUGAUGCUCACAGCGGCUAUGAUAUUCCUCUGAAUCCUUUACAUUUGUUUCCUUUUUAUGCUGGGGCUCGCAUUCAUGACUUCCAUCAUAUGAACUUCACUGGCAAUUACUCCUCAACAUUCACAUGGUGGGAUAAACUCUUAGGUACUGAUUCUCAAUAUAAGUCUCACACAGAGAAAGGGAAGAAACAGGAACGCACAGUGGAAAAGAAGAUGGAAUAAAUCUCCCAUUUGCAACACUGUUUGCAGCAUCCAAGAGGCAAAUGGCUCCCAUCUUACUUUUGAUUAAAACUAGAAAACCUAACACAUAUUACAAUUCAAAGCAAAAUACAGCUUUUAACAAACCGCCAAGCUUGGGUAUGCAGCAGGAAAAAAUGUUCAUUGAUGCAUUUUCCAAAUGAUUGUGCUUUUUCUAUCCUGUACUUAAGUCAAACAGAUACAGUAUAUAUUGA